Molecule: unclassified non-coding RNA, 337 nt
Filed under: Ephedra intermedia
Lineage: Eukaryota; Viridiplantae; Streptophyta; Gnetopsida; Ephedrales; Ephedraceae
Description: partial ITS1
Source: RNAcentral
GGGACGUUAAACCAACAACCCAAGGGUGCCUCGGAAUGCYUGGUGCGCGACGGGGGCGGAUCUUACUUGCCGCUCACUGGGGCUUCCGCCCCGUCCCGUCGCGGCGGACGCGGUUGGUGCGCGAUGGGGGCGGAUCUUACUUGCCGCUCAAUGGGGCUUCCGCCCCGUCCCGUCGUMGUCGUCGGCCGCGGGGGGUGCGCGAUGGGGGCGGAUCUUACUUGCCGCUCACUGGGGCUUCCGCCCYGUCCCAUCGUCGCCUCCUUUCCGGGGCGCCCUAUUCCAAUUUUUUACUCUGUAGAGAAAACUUGGGCCGGGAGUUCCGGCAAAGAGGGCGGGA